AUGCCGCUCUGGACCCUGGAAGGCGCGAAGGAGGUGCUGGGCGACGUGGUCAUCACCGACCGCUUUGACAGCCGCACGUUCGAGCGUGCGGACACGAAGCUGUUCGCCGUCUGGGUGUGGGUGUGGCAGCUGCACCACAUCCCCACCAAGCAAACCCUGUGGAAGCAUGCCAGAGGGGCUGGCCGGGUGGAGGAGAUGAUCGGCUUCUCGCCCCCGAGCCGGGCCGUUGCGCCGUCGCCGGACCUGAUGCGCUGGGAUGUGCUGGUGCACAUCGACCGGGUUGAAGACUAG
RNAcentral lists this ribosomal RNA (291 nucleotides) under Triticum aestivum (bread wheat). RNAcentral describes it as "partial small subunit ribosomal RNA". The record is from RNAcentral. Lineage: Eukaryota; Viridiplantae; Streptophyta; Magnoliopsida; Poales; Poaceae.